GUCCAGCAUUGAGUAUGGUCACUGGAUUUGGCCCAGAGAGGGUGAAAGGCCCGUACGGGUGGAGGUUCAGACAUGUAAGGCAGUUCACCAGGUCGACCUUAGAGUCGGGUUGUUUGGGAAUGCAGCCCAAAGCGGGUGGUAAACUCCAUCCAAGGCUAAAUACAGACACGAGUCCGAUAGCGAACAAGUACCGUGAGGGAAAGUUGAAAAGUACUCUGAAGAGAGAGUAAACAGUACGUGAAACCGCAUGCAGGUAAACGGGUGGCGUCAAGCUGCAAGCCCAGAGGAUUCAGCCGGUUAGGAUGUUGUGUAUGCGCCUGGCGCAUCUAUCAGUCAGAGUAUGAUUGGAUAGUCCACCAGUAGACGGUGGGCCUGACCGCAAGGUUGGGAUAUGUGUACCGGGUGGGUGCCGGAGCAUGCUAUCCGUCUGAGGACUGUCUAAUCGGUGCACUUUCUCUGUGGUGAACACCACGACCGGUGGUAUUGCCAGUCUGCUGUGUCCAAGUCGUGUUUGGUAGGUCCUUGUGGCCAACUGGAUGCGAUCACAGGCAAAUUUAGUAAACGGCGUAGAGGUGUUUCGGCAUCUCUGCGUGUUAUCGGCUACUAGUUGUCAACGGGCCUGCUCGAUGUUUGUUGUAACUGGCAUCGAGUGGUCUGGUGGGGCAUGGUGGUAAGAAUAACUGUGCAAGGCACCGGAGUUAUCGGCCUCAAAUGCAUUCU
RNAcentral lists this ribosomal RNA (720 nucleotides) under Kapsulotaenia tidswelli. RNAcentral describes it as "partial large subunit ribosomal RNA". It matches the Rfam family "Eukaryotic large subunit ribosomal RNA", at positions 167 to 628 of the family's 3401-position model. The record is from RNAcentral. Lineage: Eukaryota; Metazoa; Platyhelminthes; Cestoda; Proteocephalidea; Proteocephalidae.